CCUGGUUAGGUAAAGUUGUACCCAAUUUCACCGAAACAUUAAUAUAUGUACUAAUAUUCUUUGGUGGCUCUUAUAUCAGGAGUCUGCAAACUGGUACUUUUUUUAAAUGUGACAAAAAAAAAUGUUUCAUAUAGUAUAUGAAUGAUUGGUGGUGUAAAUACGAAAUAUACUUAACAUUACAGCUGUGCUGCAUUUUAAAAUCUAAUGACCGGCAACUUAUUGCAUUGUCAUAAGACGUGCGUUUCUGUAUAAACUUGAACACAUGUAUACUCGCGACCACUCGUUUUUAAAAUCCAAAAAGGAAAACAAUUGAAGAUGUCCAAUAUAGAAACAUGGCAUAUCUUUAUAAAUGCAACAUGCUGGUUCUUUCUAAAAAUCGCCUUUAAUCGUCUUAUACUCCCGUUUAUGAACUUCCAACAG
Molecule: long non-coding RNA, 420 nt
Filed under: Mytilus galloprovincialis (Mediterranean mussel)
Lineage: Eukaryota; Metazoa; Mollusca; Bivalvia; Mytilida; Mytilidae
Source: RNAcentral